AAGGAAGAAAAAAAACAUAACAGGUCGAUUGAGCGGACGCAAUAGCAGGAGAGAGGAAACCCUAACGAAGAUACCCUGAUCGAUUGUGCGGCGCGCCGUAGAUGGAGCUCAUCGAAAGCGGGUUGGCGCUGAUGGACAUCUCCAUGGGCGAGUCCAGUACAAAGACGAGGAAGAAGAGCAUUAGAGAGGCGGAGUUAACCAAUCUGAGGCGCAUCAGAGAGUCGCAGGAGAGGAUCCGGAGGAGGCAGGAGCAACUUCUUCGCGAUCCACAGCCACCUCUUAGCUACGAGUUUGAAGAGGAAGAGGAGAAAGAGGAGAAGGCUCCUACAGAUGAGCAGGAGACUGAGGAGUACCGUAGGAUGUGGGAGAUGUGCUUUCGCAACAAUUUCGGUUCAAUCGACGCGGAAACUUCUCUUGGUCCCAUUUACUGUACUGGAACCAGCCCAGCAGAUGCUCUUCCGGAGAGUUGUAUGCAGAUCUUCUCCAUCAAAGUCACUGACCUAAAUAAUGGUCUCAGCUUGCCACUGGAGGUUCACGGCUUUGUUGCUGCCAGGGACUCGGUAGAUCGUAAACGCAACUAUCUCUUCAGAUGCACCAGGGAUAACUGCCAAAUCCUCACUCCAAAGGAUCCAUUCUUGCACUUAACAGGCCCCUCUCGGGCAGUUCUGUUAAUUGACCGUGUCGCGAUUGAAGUUCAGCUAAAAGUAAAGGGCAAAAAAGAGUCUGAAGAUGAAGUGUUAGCUUUCAAAUGUUUUUAUUUCCACGAAGGGUAUCAUUUAGAAGAUGGGAUCCGUUUUCGCAUCCCCAGCAAGCGCUGCAUGCUUGAGUUUGCUUUGGCAGUGCUGCCUAUGUCAGUUGAGGCCAUUGUGGGCAUCCGGGUUGUUGAUGGGUCAUGGCCUGAUCAUUGUCGGGGGUUGGUUGUUUGCAGUACCAACAGUGUAAAAAAAGGGAAAGUGGUGCUGCUUGAUUUUCAAAAUGGAGAACUACCUACCAAGUCAGAUGGUGUGGUUGAGCUUGCAAGGAGUGUUGUUUCUAUUGAUUACCCAGAGGGAGAACUGACUGUUUCUGUGGAGGCGUCGCGGGAUCGAUUUUCUGCACGAGGUAUAGUCGGCUUUGGGAUGAAAGUGACAAGGGGAAGUAUUACUCGCACGUGUGAUAUGGUUUUCUGCAAAAUGAAAAUUUCAGUUUCUUGGUCCCUUGUUUCUUGCUAUCGGGUUUAAAGUCCAACCUUAUCUAUUUGGCCAACCUUACCCGUGGUUUGCCCAGCUAAGCCAUUGGACUAUUUAUGUAUUUAUAUUGUCAUGCUUUGGUACCUACCUACCUGUUGUACUUGAUUAUUCAUGUUUGCUUCGAUGUGGUAUUACUCAGGCUGCUCAGGUAAUGAGCAUAUUAGUUGGUGCUACUAAACUUUCCCACUCCGCUCUAAUGUUAUAUAUUAUCUGUGGCUUAUUUGUAAUGUUGCUGCUACAUUGUCAUAUAUAGCAUGUACCAGAACUUUGCGUGCA
Molecule: RNA transcript, 1505 nt
Organism: Hordeum vulgare subsp. vulgare (domesticated barley)
Lineage: Eukaryota; Viridiplantae; Streptophyta; Magnoliopsida; Poales; Poaceae
Exons: 3
Source: RefSeq, a predicted model, not a curated record